This is an RNA transcript of Mangifera indica (mango), 1916 nucleotides long. It is a transcript of the gene named protein CLT1, chloroplastic, with no coding region annotated. NCBI's taxonomy places the organism in Eukaryota, Viridiplantae, Streptophyta, Magnoliopsida, Sapindales, Anacardiaceae. The record is from RefSeq and is a predicted model, not a curated record. The transcript is spliced from 10 exons.
UCUCUGAAAGGAAUAGAAAAGUUAGCUUUGACAACGAUAUAUAAACACAGGCAAAUAAUUUCGCUCACAUUCUCAAGUCUCAACAACACAACUCUCUUUCUCUCUCUAUCGCCCUCCGUUACAGCACAUCAGUUCGCUAUCAUUUCUACAAUGGCGUCAUCUUACAGGCAGUUCACCGCCGGUCCCUCCGCAUCACACACUACUAUAUUUGAAUCACGAAAACCGACACGAACGGCAGUGAAUUUAUGCCUAUUACGGGAUCAGAGAAAUCAUCGACCCUGGCUCGUCCUAAAAUCGCUAAAACAACGUUCGAAUUCUCACGCGGCGUGGUUGGGAGGAGUGUGGGAGAGAUCAGAGGGAGAGGAAGCGGUGGUGGAGAAGAAGAAGGCCGGGACGUGGUCUUACGCAGUGGAGAAAAGGAGGAGUAGUGAUGAAAAUAGUCGGAAGGUGGAAGUGGUGGUGGCGGCAGCGGUCACGGUGGUUCUCGGGGUCGGAAAUCGAGUGUUGUACAAACUGGCGCUUGUUCCUCUCAAGCAUUACCCCUUCUUUCUUGCCCAGCUUGCUACUCUCGGGUAUGUAGUUGUAUAUUAUUCUAUCUUGUACCUUCGUUACCAUGCUGGCAUUGUCACAGAUGAGAUGCUUUCCAUGCCAAAAGCUCCAUUUUUGCUUGUUGGCCUUUUGGAGGCUCUUGCUGCUGCUACUGGAAUGGCUGCUGGAGCAAUUCUUUCUGGAGCAUCAAUCCCAAUUUUGUCUCAGACUUUUCUUGUAUGGCAAAUUCUCCUAUCCUUUAUUUUCCUUGGAAGAAGAUAUAGAGUCAACCAAUUACUUGGAUGUUUUCUUGUAGCCAUUGGUGUAAUCAUUACUGUAGCAAGUGGAUCUAGUGGUCAUUCCUUGAAGGAUGCUGGUAUAUUUUGGAGUAUUCUGAUGAUAAUUUCUUUUCUCUUGCAAGCAGCUGAUACAGUACUAAAGGAAAUAAUCUUUAAAAAUGCAGCUGAGCGAUUAAAAGGAGGUUCAGUGGAUCUAUUUGUUGUAAAUUCCUAUGGAUCUGCAUUUCAGGCUCUGUUUAUAUGCAUUUUGCUACCAUUUUUGUCAAAGUUAUGGGGUAUUCCAUUUAUUCAACUUCCAAACUAUCUUAGAGAUGGUGCAGCCUGCUUUCUGAACAUUGGUACUUUAUCAAAUGUGAUGGUCUAACAGCAGGAGAAGAGGAUUUAUAAGAACAGAACGGAUAUAACCACAACUUGCACUUUGUAGGCUGUGUUGUCAUCCAGAUUAGUUCUUCUUUCCUGCUUUAGAAACCUUUCUGCUGAGAUGAUAUUGCAUAUUAAUGUCAAAAAUUGAUUGAUUUAAAUUCUUUGCAAUUUUUUUGUGUAGGAUGUGAUGGUGCACCGCUGCUCCCUAUAUUGUUCAUUCUUGUCAACAUGGGUUAUAACAUAUCAUUGCUGCAUCUCCUCAAGAUUUCUUCAGCAGUAGUCUCCUGCCUUGCUUCCACAUUUUCAGUGCCAAUAUCAGUGUAUGUCUUCACAUUGCCACUACCAUACCUUGGCGUUGCAUCGUCUCUCCCAGCUGGCUUUGUCGUGGGAGCAAUCAUACUUGUAAUGGGCUUGCUUAUCUAUGCCUGGACACCAAAAGUGACUUCUUCUGGUGGCUCUUCUUCCUCAUCUACAACCAGUUAACAUAUGGUAAAUCAUCAUUAGCAUUGCCAUUUUCAAGCUCAGAAACUACUGCAAGCUAGUUUCCCAGUUAAUCCAAGGAAGAGGAAGAACAUUGUUGUUAUCAUAACUGCAAUUUUUGUUAAGCUUGAAUUAGCUAGUUUUCAUUCUUCAUUGAUCCACCAUGUGUAAGAGUUAAAAAAAAUAAAUAAUAAUAAAAGGGUGGCUCAAAAAUUUUUCUUGAUCCCCUUCACUAAUAAUGUUCGA